AGUGGGUUAGUAUAUUAAUACCGCUGACUUAGGAUCAGCAAAUAAGCAACCACUUACCCACCA
Molecule: transfer RNA, 63 nt
Filed under: Lamprotula leaii
Lineage: Eukaryota; Metazoa; Mollusca; Bivalvia; Unionida; Unionidae
Description: tRNA-Leu
Source: RNAcentral